GCCCAGAUUAGUCGCCUAGAAUAUCCUUGGUUCUAUGAGGGAAAACAUACAUUCAGUCAAAAGGCAUUUUCCUUAAGUUAUCAAUUAGACUAAAGAAAGUGGGGAACAUACAGUGUCGAGCAUGGGUGUCAAAAACACUUUGGUGCCCUGUCACGGAAGGAGCCACAAAGAUAUAAUUUCAGAGGAGAAUUCUCUACAACAGCUCAAAUGGAAAGUAGAACACAAGAUCAGAGUACAGGCAGUUAUGGAUAUUACAUGGAAACAGCUCUUUGCUCAUUAACGGAAUUUCAGAGAAUGGUGUUGCAGCAGCUUGCCACAAUCAAUGACACCCAACAAGAAAUCAUGCAGAUUUUAAGGAGACUGAAAAGCAACGAGUCUGGUGCGUUAAGGGGAUCAUUGCUGGAUGCACUGGACCUUGCAAAAUCCGAAGAUGAGCUGCAGGUCUUGGAAUACCAGCUGCAGGACAAAGAACAUCAGGACAAAGUUUUUUUCCUUUUCAAAUGUAUUGACACUCAGUGUUUCUCCUACAAUUGCACUGGCGUAGUAAAAGUGCCAUUAGUACUAAUUGGUAUUGGUACUACAAGGUGCUUUCAAUAAAAAUAAAUAAUAUUUUUGAAAUUA
Anguilla rostrata (American eel) is the source of this 621-nucleotide long non-coding RNA. RefSeq lists it as uncharacterized. The record is from RefSeq and is a predicted model, not a curated record. Lineage: Eukaryota; Metazoa; Chordata; Actinopteri; Anguilliformes; Anguillidae. The transcript has 4 exons.